AACUUGUAUGGCUGCAUAAGGAAAAUUGUCGUCGUCACUUAUGCGCCAUAAGGAAAACCGUCCAAAGGAGCGGCAAUAGGAUUUUCCUGAAUUGUUAAGUGUCAAUUAAUCGAAAUAACCAUCCAUGAAAAGUAAUGAAGGUGAGAGGAGGCUUCUCCAUACUGUUCUAGACCCUAGGAUUGUUGUGUUGUUGCUUGGGCUUCUGUAUGGGCCUGAUAGAUUUAUGUAAUGAACUAUUUUUUGGUGGCCUACGCCGUGGGCCAUUGUAUUUUUGCCCUUAUGGGCAUUUAUGCAAUGAUAAUUUGCAGUACGAAAAAAACUCUAUAUUGCCAUAUUAUACGUCUCAUUCGAAAACGUGUCACGAAAGGCAGAGAAAAAUAUUUUUAUGGUGUAUUGUAAUUCAUCACAACCGUUGAUCAAUAAUGAAAAUUCAUUUAUUUAAAAAAAAAAAAGAAA
RNAcentral lists this long non-coding RNA (456 nucleotides) under Manihot esculenta (cassava). Its description in RNAcentral is "long non-coding RNA (MESC_LNC003558)". The record is from RNAcentral. Lineage: Eukaryota; Viridiplantae; Streptophyta; Magnoliopsida; Malpighiales; Euphorbiaceae.